UUGCUUCAGCAGCACACAUGCUAAAAUUGGAAUGAUACCGAUUAGCAUGGCCCCUGCAGAAGGAUGACAUGCAAAUAUUAUGUUUGUGAAAUUUAC
RNAcentral lists this small nuclear RNA (96 nucleotides) under Suricata suricatta (meerkat). Lineage: Eukaryota; Metazoa; Chordata; Mammalia; Carnivora; Herpestidae. The record is from RNAcentral.